GGCCUACCAUGCAGUCGAGCGGUAGAGAGGUGCUUGCACCUCUUGAGAGCGGCGGACGGGUGAGUAAAGCCUAGGAAUCUGCCUGGUAGUGGGGGAUAACGCUCGGAAACGGACGCUAAUACCGCAUACGUCCUACGGGAGAAAGCAGGGGACCUUCGGGCCUUGCGCUAUCAGAUGAGCCUAGGUCGGAUUAGCUAGUUGGUGAGGUAAUGGCUCACCAAGGCGACGAUCCGUAACUGGUCUGAGAGGAUGAUCAGUCACACUGGAACUGAGACACGGUCCAGACUCCUACGGGAGGCAGCAGUGGGGAAUAUUGGACAAUGGGCGAAAGCCUGAUCCAGCCAUGCCGCGUGUGUGAAGAAGGUCUUCGGAUUGUAAAGCACUUUAAGUUGGGAGGAAGGGCAUUAACCUAAUACGUUAGUGUUUUGACGUUACCGACAGAAUAAGCACCGGCUAACUCUGUGCCAGCAGCCGCGGUAAUACAGAGGGUGCAAGCGUUAAUCGGAAUUACUGGGCGUAAAGCGCGCGUAGGUGGUUCGUUAAGUUGGAUGUGAAAUCCCCGGGCUCAACCUGGGAACUGCAUUCAAAACUGUCGAGCUAGAGUAUG
RNAcentral lists this ribosomal RNA (607 nucleotides) under uncultured bacterium. Its description in RNAcentral is "bacterial SSU rRNA". It matches the Rfam family "Bacterial small subunit ribosomal RNA", at positions 45 to 650 of the family's 1533-position model. The record is from RNAcentral.